Molecule: non-coding RNA, 325 nt
Organism: Mus caroli (Ryukyu mouse)
Lineage: Eukaryota; Metazoa; Chordata; Mammalia; Rodentia; Muridae
Source: RefSeq, a predicted model, not a curated record
GAUGAUGAUUUAAAAUCAAGAUUUCUCGUGGAUGGACUGCUGCUGCAAAAUUGCAGACAAGUAUCUUUUGGCUGUGACCUUUGUUUAUUUCAAGAGAGCUAAAUUUACUAUAAAUGAGCAUAUCAGGAUAAAUUUCUUUAUUGCUCUGUAUCUGGCUAAUAUGAUUGAAAAAGAUGAAGAAGAAGCCAACCUAUGAAAAUUUUUCAAUGGGCUUUAGGGAAAAACUGGAGAAAAUUGUUCCCUAAUUUCUUAAAGUUAAGGGACCAACUCUGGGACAGAAUUGACUAUAGGGCUGUUGUAAGCAGGCAAUGCUGUGAAGAGGUAA